CCACACGACUCUCGGCAACGGAUAUCUCGGCUCUCGCAUCGAUGAAGAACGUAGCGAAAUGCGAUACCUGGUGUGAAUUGCAGAAUCCCGUGAACCAUCGAGUCUUUGAACGCAAGUUGCGCCCGAGGCCAUCCGGCCGAGGGCACGCCUGCCUGGGCGUCAC
RNAcentral lists this ribosomal RNA (163 nucleotides) under Oryza rufipogon (brownbeard rice). RNAcentral describes it as "5.8S ribosomal RNA". It matches the Rfam family "5.8S ribosomal RNA". From Rfam's summary of the family: 5.8S ribosomal RNA (5.8S rRNA) is a component of the large subunit of the eukaryotic ribosome. It is transcribed by RNA polymerase I as part of the 45S precursor that also contains 18S and 28S rRNA. Functionally, it is thought that 5.8S rRNA may be involved in ribosome translocation. The record is from RNAcentral. Lineage: Eukaryota; Viridiplantae; Streptophyta; Magnoliopsida; Poales; Poaceae. RNAcentral also lists the same sequence under 1 other name.